Leptonychotes weddellii (Weddell seal) is the source of this 889-nucleotide long non-coding RNA. RefSeq lists it as uncharacterized. NCBI's taxonomy places the organism in Eukaryota, Metazoa, Chordata, Mammalia, Carnivora, Phocidae. The record is from RefSeq and is a predicted model, not a curated record.
UGGCAUCAGUUUAUCUCCACGUGAGAAGAUCUGGAUGCGCUUAUUUUACUCUCUGCUGUAACUAAGAAAAAAACAAACAGAAACCCUGCAAAGGUUCACUGAGACAGCAGUCAGUCACGAAAAAGGAAUUUGAACCAAGAUAACGUUAGUUACAUUUUACCCACACGUUCCCGAAGCCUGAGCACUACCAGUUGAGCAAACGCGAUUUGGCCCUUCGUCGUGACAUUAAAACUUCACCAAGUCAGCAGUGACUUUGUGUAACGCAAAGAAGCCUCGCACACAGACGCAUGCACGCACGCAGACCUCUUUUGAUACCUCAGGGACACUGAGAACUAAGGGAUUCCGAGGCCAGGUAGGAGUGCUGCAGCCCUGGAAGGAAGCCCGGGCUGUAGGGCUGCCAGGCCCCACUGGUCUUCUACCCAAAGACAGAGGAGAAUGUCUUUCCUGGGUAAACUCUCCUGCCAGUGACCUUCCUGAGUGAUCCUGUCCUUACUGACAGUGCGGGACGCCCAGGACUGGCUGGCUUAUCAGCAAAAUGCACCUCUUUUUAAAUUAAGCUGCCUGUUUUCCCUGAAGAGUAAAGCUCUGUCUAAUCCAAAUAAUAUAGGGGAAAUGUCUGUAACUGUGAUGUCACUGUCUGUGGUUGGAAAUUAAAAAGCAGAGAGGACAUAUGCCGACAUCUGCCUCUGGGAUUUCUUUACCUGUCUCUCAAUACAGUAGCAGAGCCUCUGAGACCUCAGACCAUUCACCGUUAUCUUUGGUCGUCAAGAGGACAAACACCUCUAGCCCUAAAGCAUGCAUUAUCACAAUCAUUGGGUUUAAAAAUAUAUAGAUAGUUUCAAUAAAAGGGAUGACUAGAUUAAAAAAAAUAAGAAAGUUUCUUAACUAA